RNAcentral lists this unclassified non-coding RNA (697 nucleotides) under Hevea brasiliensis (rubber tree). Lineage: Eukaryota; Viridiplantae; Streptophyta; Magnoliopsida; Malpighiales; Euphorbiaceae. The record is from RNAcentral.
AUAAUAUUGUAAAAAAGGGGGAAGCAUUAUUUAAUUGGGGCAAUGGAAUAAAAACUGAAUUGAUGAGAUUAUCAAGCUAAGCAAGCUGAAGAUGAGUUAAAGAGUUGCAGCAGAGCUGUCAGUUGAAUCAAGUUUAAAUUGGUUGCUGUAAUUUAUUCUAGUUAGCUAAUUUCAGAAUUAGUUAAGUAGUUUCAGGUUUCAGCUUUGUUAGUUAGAUGACAGCUGACACUUUUAGUUGUAAUUGUUCCACCUACUUUCCCUUUGUUUCUUGCAUAUAAGCUGAGAACAAAGUUAUUGAUCUAAUGAGAAUCAUGGUUUUCUCUCCCAAACCACUUUAAUGCCUCUUAUUCAAAACUAGGCAUACAAAUUAACUAGAUAUAAGAUAGACGAUAGAAUGUGGGUUCCAAAAUGACUUUUCUUCAAUAACAACGCAGGCAUAUCAGAUAGAUUUAAAAUAAAACAGUAGGUACAUAGAUAAACGCAAUAAAUGAAAUCAAAAUAAGCUCAAAAGAAAUUUCUGAUUCAAAAGGAGCCAAUUAACAAUAGCUAUACAGCAAACCCAAUUGAUCGAUGCACGAAUGUUUAUUAAGUUCUAAAAAUAUCUUAUUCCUCCCAAAAAAACAGUAGCAAGGGAAGAUUCAAAACAGUUGUCUAUUUUGGAGCUUAUCGGCAACCAAAUAGAUAAGGAAAAAAAAAA